GGGAGAAGUGAUGAUUUGUACCCAUCUAUUCUGUAAAAAGAAUGAUGAUUUUUAUACAUGCACUACCAUCUGAUCUCUC
Small nucleolar RNA from Macleaya cordata, 79 nucleotides. NCBI's taxonomy places the organism in Eukaryota, Viridiplantae, Streptophyta, Magnoliopsida, Ranunculales, Papaveraceae. The record is from Rfam.